Molecule: ribosomal RNA, 253 nt
Filed under: uncultured bacterium
Lineage: Bacteria
Description: partial 16S ribosomal RNA
Rfam family: Bacterial small subunit ribosomal RNA
Source: RNAcentral
UACAGAGGGUGCGAGCGUUGUUCGGAAUUAUUGGGCGUAAAGGGCGCGUAGGCGGUGCGGUAAGUCACCUGUGAAAUCUCCUGGCUCAACUGGGAGCUUGCAGGCGAAACUGCCGUGCUGGAGUGUGGGAGAGGUGAGUGGAAUUCCCGGUGUAGCGGUGAAAUGCGCAGAUAUCAGGAGGAACACCGAUGGCGAAGGCAGGUCUCUGGGCCACUACUGACGUGGAGAAGCGAAAGCAUGGGGAGCGAACAGG